RNAcentral lists this ribosomal RNA (446 nucleotides) under uncultured Thauera sp. RNAcentral describes it as "bacterial SSU rRNA". It matches the Rfam family "Bacterial small subunit ribosomal RNA", at positions 933 to 1382 of the family's 1533-position model. Lineage: Bacteria; Pseudomonadati; Pseudomonadota; Betaproteobacteria; Rhodocyclales; Zoogloeaceae. The record is from RNAcentral.
UGGAUGAUGUGGAUUAAUUCGAUGCAACGCGAAAACCUUACCUACCCUUGACAUGUCUGGAACCUUGCUGAGAGGCGAGGGUGCCUUCGGGAGCCAGAACACAGGUGCUGCAUGGCUGUCGUCAGCUCGUGUCGUGAGAUGUUGGGUUAAGUCCCGCAACGAGCGCAACCCUUGUCAUUAGUUGCCAUCAUUUAGUUGGGCACUCUAAUGAGACUGCCGGUGACAAACCGGAGGAAGGUGGGAUGACGUCAAGUCCUCAUGGCCCUUAUGUCUAGGGCUACACACGUACUACAAUGGCCGGUACAAAGGGCAGCCACUCAGCGAUGAGGCGCUAAUCCCAUAAAGCCGGUCUCAGUCCGGAUCGCAGUCUGCAACUCGACUGCGUGAAGUUGGAAUCGCUAGUAAUCGUAGAUCAGCAUGCUACGGUGAAUACGUUCCCGGGCCUU